This 386-nucleotide long non-coding RNA is filed under the name Homo sapiens (human). Its description in RNAcentral is "non-protein coding lnc-HOMEZ-2:1". The record is from RNAcentral. Lineage: Eukaryota; Metazoa; Chordata; Mammalia; Primates; Hominidae.
CUUAGCUCCCACAAUUUAGCCUAAAUAUUUGCCCUGGCAUGCUUAGAUUGGUCCAAACAAGCAUUAGGUUAUAGUCUGUUCCUCUUCCUUAUUUGAAGGUGUUUUUACCUUUCUCAGCAUUCCACAAGUUACUUCCUCCUUCCUUUGUUCUCCUCUACCUUUGCCCCUUUUCAUAAGUUCUAAGUUGCUAGCCAAUCGGAACAAAUACAGAAUGUGAGGUCUGGUUCCAGCCAAUGGAAACCGGACACAGCAGUAAGGUAGACGCGUCAGGUUAUGAACGACCCUGUCUCCUUUGUUCAGUGUACUCUCGUGGCAAAACUGCCGGCGAGUGUACCCUUUCUGCAGGAAGUAAAAAUGACCUUGCUGAGUAAAUUAAAUUUAUGUUC